This 254-nucleotide ribosomal RNA is filed under the name uncultured bacterium. RNAcentral's name for it is "partial 16S ribosomal RNA". It matches the Rfam family "Bacterial small subunit ribosomal RNA", at positions 524 to 776 of the family's 1533-position model. The record is from RNAcentral.
UACGGGGGGGGGCAAGCGUUGUUCGGAAUUACUGGGCGUAAAGGGCGCGUAGGCGGUUUGCUAAGUUGGAUGUGAAAACUCUGGGCUUAACCCAGAGCCUGCAUCCAAAACUGGCAAACUUGAGUACUGGAGGGGAAAGCGGAAUUCCUGGUGUAGCGGUGAAAUGCGUAGAUAUCAGGAGGAACACCGGUGGCGAAGGCGGGUCUCUGGGCAGUAACUGACGCUGAGGAGCGAAAGCGUGGGGAGCGAACAGG